RNAcentral lists this unclassified non-coding RNA (329 nucleotides) under soil metagenome. Its description in RNAcentral is "partial contains 5.8S ribosomal RNA, internal transcribed spacer 2, and large subunit ribosomal RNA". The stretch from base 1 to 120 matches the Rfam family "5.8S ribosomal RNA", at positions 35 to 154 of the family's 154-position model. The record is from RNAcentral.
GAUGAAGAACGCAGCAAAAUGCGAUAAGUAAUGUGAAUUGCAGAAUUCAGUGAAUCAUCGAAUCUUUGAACGCACAUUGCGCCCCUUGGUAUCCCGAGGGGCAUGCCUGUUCGAGCGUCAUUUCACCACUCAAGCCUGGCUUGGUGUUGGGCGACGUCCUCUUUGGGGACGCGCCUCGAAACGCUCGGCGGCGUGGCACCGGCUUUAAGCGUAGCAGAAUCUUUCGCUUUGGAAGUCGGGGCCCCGUCUGCCGGAAGACCUGCUCGCAAGGUUGACCUCGGAUCAGGCAGGGAUACCCGCUGAACUUAAGCAUAUCAAUAAGCGGAGGA